This is a long non-coding RNA of Neotoma lepida (desert woodrat), 247 nucleotides long. It matches the Rfam family "Hydatidiform mole associated and imprinted conserved region 1". Lineage: Eukaryota; Metazoa; Chordata; Mammalia; Rodentia; Cricetidae. The record is from Rfam.
CUUACCAUGCGCUAAGUAAGCAGCCAGAGACUCCAACCCCAGACCGAUGGGUUAAUACGCAGAAGGAAAAGGAAAGGGGGGGGGGACACACUUCGGGGAGCAGGACCUCGCCGAGGCCCCAGAGAGCUAACAGGAGCGGCCUCGAAGCUGCCUUAGAGGGUGGGGUUAGAGGAAUAUCUCUGGAAGAAGGAUCUAAGCUGGGACAUUGCUAUUUUUAAUUUUCACUCGAUUCCUAAAACAUCAAAGU